This is a long non-coding RNA of Aethalodelphis obliquidens (Pacific white-sided dolphin), 2656 nucleotides long. RefSeq lists it as uncharacterized. The record is from RefSeq and is a predicted model, not a curated record. NCBI's taxonomy places the organism in Eukaryota, Metazoa, Chordata, Mammalia, Artiodactyla, Delphinidae. The transcript has 3 exons.
UUGGAGUGAUGGGGAUGCAGGGGAAGGGGGAGGGGCUCUGCCUGAUGCAUUCUGGGACAAGUGCCAGCUCUUUGCUCCCUCCUUCCUUUCUCCUGCACGGGUUGCAGGAAGAACCAAAAGUUUGGGCCCAUGUGGCAUCCGCCUUAGGCUGUCCUAGCUGUCACUCUCACUAGCUUCUCUGAGCAGAAGAGCCAGGGGAGAUACUUUCAGAAGAGCUGUGGCUUUUCAGUGGACAGAACUGGAGUCUAGGACCAGCUCAGCUCUCUGCUGGCUGUGGCCCCUUGGCAAGUCACAAAACGUUUCUGUUCCUCACUUUCCACAUCUGUCACCUGGGGUGUCGUAACGUGGACUAAAUGGCAAUGGGGAUGUGAAGGACCUUGGGUGGUAUCUGGCACAUUACGGGUCCUGGAAAAAUUGUCAUGAGGGGUAAAUGAGAAAAUACAUGCCAAAUGCUUAUCACAGGGUAAUUUGAUACCUGGGUUCAAUGAAUGUUGCUACCACAGUUAUCGUUUCCGACCAGCUCUCAUCCCUGGGGUGUAACGUCUGUGCAGCAGCCUUACCCCGAGAGCUCCCUCACUCUGGCCACCAUGCUUUCCUCCUCCCAGCCUCACUGACAACCACCCACUGCCUCUCCACCCUCACUGGGCUCCCCGACCACUCUAGGCCACCCAUCACCCAGUCCUCUGGGCUUGAGUCUUGUCCAGCCGGGCCCUCAGGGUCAGGCCCGUCACCAUCCUCCCUGACCUGCUGGAACCCCUGCGUCUCGAAAAUCCAUAGACUCUGUCUGCAAACCCUGGGUCAUGUCACGUCACCAAAUGCCCCAUCAUGCCUUUUCUGUUUCCCUCCUCAGUUGGGCAGUUUUAAUCGUCUCGUGUCCAUUUUGAGCACGUUCUUCACCUGAGUUGCCCCAAACCUUCUCCAGCCUCCCAGGGUGCCUGAUUCUACCCCAGCCUUCCUUUCUGGCAGGUGACUUUGCCUUCCUCGAUGAGCACCUCUCCACAUCCCAUGAGGGAUGAGCCACAGACCGCAUGGCACAGCUGUGGGCAGUCGAGAGGGAGGGGGACGGAAAGGGUAGAGGUGGAGGAUGUGGGCAUCACGGGAGUAGAAGUGGGCCUGAGUGUAGGCCUGCAGACCCACUGACCCAGAGCCCUGAUCAGGAGAGGCAAGGCCUAUCGUGGAGCCUGGCACGGCAUAGCUGCUCAGUAAACACCCCCUUACUCAUGCCCUGUGUUGACGCGGAAUAUUUUUUAUUGUUUUCAAAACCACCUCAAGAAUGCUGGUGUCCGGGAUCGAGCUGCCCACAGCUCUGCCAUCUUUUGGACUCCAUGUCUGGGCAGGGAUUGAAGAGGGGGAGGCCUACUCAGCUCCUAUAACCCAAGAUAAUGAAAUGAAGGCACAGAGAAAUGAAAUAGAUUUCUCAGGAUCAUACAGAGAAGAAGUGGUAGAACUGGGAUUUGAACCCAUAUCAUCUGACUGCAGAGCCUGUGCUCUUAACAUCUUCACAGGACUGGAAGAGGGUGAUCGUGCAGGCCAGGAGAGGAGAAAAUAAAAUAACACUGGCAGAUGCAAGUCAUGACACCCACAGCCAUGUUGUUCUCUGAGCUCAGGCUCUGCAUGAGGGGCAUCCACCCCCUAAAGGUGAGAGGUUCCAACUGGAAGACUUGGCUUCAGCCCUGAGAGUCAAGUAUACUGAGGCUGAGUUGGUGAGAGUGGGAGGCAGAGCUCAAAGUCUGCCUCAAGGGUGUCUGAACUGUUCUUCCUUCCUGGAAGGCCCCUCAGCAUCAACAGAAAGAGAUUUCAAAGGAUCUCGAAGAAGGCAGACCCCUUGUCGCUGGUUAGUCCAGCCAAGAACUCGGCUUGGCACCAGUUUUGUGUGUAUGAAUGUCUGUUCCUAUGGCCUGGGCACAGCCAGUAUUUCUUUGUCUUUGUGCUAUUUCUGGAACCCUUGACUUUUCACUAUCAAAUAUGAGUUCCUUCGGAUUAUGUCUUCUAGAUUUUGCCUUUUAACAUACUGACCUUUGUAGAAUAUCCUGAUUUCUCUCCCUUCUCAUCUCUUUCACAAUCCAACCCACCUCCGUUUCCAGGCCUUUGGUCUUAAAAAAAAUGGACUGGCCCAAGGAGGACGUGAAGACCAUACAAAAUCUGUCCAUCCAAUAGUUCAGCAUUCCUCUCCUCCAAGUCGUUGGGUCACCAGUGCCUCCAAACCUGGUCCUGGACUGGGCCCCGUCUCUUUCCUCAGCUCCGCUGCUUCCUGCUCGUCUCAGACUCCAAUAUCCUGGGUUCUGUAAACUCUUCUGGGUUGAAAUGUUAAUGGCUAAUAUGAGUAAAUGGGUUACAUUUUCCUGGGGUCUUUUGAAGUCACCAAGGCAGGAGAGUUCCACUCAAAUUCUUCACUAGGAGGUACUUGAGACACGCACAUUUCAGUUCUGGGGAAAGUACCAUGACCAAGCUGCUGGAAGAUCUGUGCCCCUGAGAGACACACCCCACCUACUCCACGCCUCUUUUGUUAUGUCCUGACCAGUCUCAGGUUUGGGUCAGUGUCUCAGCCUCACGGCUCCUGGGGGUUCCCCACAUUGGGGCCAGUCACCACCCCCAGAGGACUUUGACUCUAAUCCAUAGUGUCUGGUUGUUCUGGGUACAUCAGCCAAGAAAGAAA